GUCGAGCGAGAACAGAGAUAGAGAUUUCGGUCAAGUCUGUUGUGGAAAGCGGCGGACGGGUGAGUAACGCGUAGGCAACCUGCCCUUUGCAGAGGGAUAGCCUCGGGAAACCGGGAUUAAAACCUCAUGAAGCUGAGAGUCCGCAUGGGGAUUCAGCCAAAGAUUUAUCGGCAAAGGAUGGGCCUGCGUCUGAUUAGUUAGUUGGUGGGGUAACGGCCUACCAAGGCGACGAUCAGUAGCCGACCUGAGAGGGUGAUCGGCCACAUUGGAACUGAGACACGGUCCAAACUCCUACGGGAGGCAGCAGUGGGGAAUCUUGCACAAUGGGCGAAAGCCUGAUGCAGCAACGCCGCGUGAGCGAAGAAGGCCUUUGGGUCGUAAAGCUCUGUCCUAAGGGAAGAAGGAAGUGACGGUACCUUAGGAGGAAGCCCCGGCUAACUACGUGCCAGCAGCCGCGGUAAUACGUAGGGGGCAAGCGUUAUCCGGAAUUAUUGGGCGUAAAGAGUACGUAGGCGGUUCUUUAAGCGUAGGGUCUAAGGCGAUGGCUUAACCAUCGUUCGCCCUGUGAACUGGAGGACUUGAGUAUCGGAGAGGAAAGCGGAAUUCCUAGUGUAGCGGUGAAAUGCGUAGAUAUUAGGAGGAACACCAGUGGCGAAGGCGGCUUUCUGGACGAAAACUGACGCUGAGGUACGAAAGCGUGGGGAGCAAACAGGAUUAGAUACCCUGGUAGUCCACGCCGUAAACGAUGAGCACUAGGUGUCGGGGCCGC
Molecule: ribosomal RNA, 769 nt
Filed under: uncultured bacterium
Lineage: Bacteria
Description: bacterial SSU rRNA
Rfam family: Bacterial small subunit ribosomal RNA
Source: RNAcentral